GUCAUUCUCAACUGUGAAGAAAUGGGACGGGAACUGGAAAUUAGUAUAGUGACAAAAGCAACCGACAGCUGAAGACUCACACCUCGUCUUCUCAUCUAUAAGAUGCGGAGCAGUGCAUUGUGGGAUUGUUAGCAGACAGUAAUGGACACUACUGACUGCUCCAUCAGAGAGUGAACACACACACACACACACACACACACACACACACACACAGUCAGCUUCAUAUCAGCCACACCCGAGCUGCACACACCCACGCACAUACAGAAGGAUUUAUGACCAUGAGUCACCAGCGUCUCUGAACCAAAGGGAUUCCUGUGUGUGUGUGUGUGUGUGUGCGUGUGUGUAUGUGUGUGUGCUCUGUGUAGCCCACAGCUAACUCAUUGAAACCAUGGCAACAUCGCCCAAAGCAUCAUGGGAACUGUAGUUCCAGACCAGCCCAAGGUGAUUCGUUGGGAAAGAGGAAACUCACCUGACCAGACGUUUGAAGCUGAACCGACCUCGGAGCCUGAACGGUAUCUGAGCCGCACGCAGACGGGGAUAAUCCCAGCUGAGCUGCUGACCUCGACACAAAACCGGGGGGGGGGGGGGGGGUCCUAUAGACUGCACUGUGUGUGUGUUGGUGAAAUUUAGGUUAAAGGGUUGUUGUCGUUCUGUUCCACUCUGCUUCACACGAACAGCCGACACAGAAACACAAACUAUCAGCACUUCGAACACACUGAACUCUUUACUAACUGUUCUUCAGUGAGUCAGAAAGAAGUCAGCUGACCUCUGCAGCCGCUGCUCGCCUCUGCUGCAGGCUACAAAACCGACAACCUGAUGGGACCUUCGCUCGGGGCAGCAGACGAAGGCGACUGUUUGUUUGGACCGCAGGGUGGAAACAGGUUCGGUGACAUCAUCACGUGAUGCUGCAGGAUCACAGCGAGCUGUUCGCACACGCUCAGUGAGAGUCCGACUCACUGAAGCAGAAACAUGCCGACAGACAGAGAUCAGCUGCAGAUAACUUCUGUCUUUCUGCCAGGACAAAGAGCAGCUGAGCGGAGAGAUAACGCUGUCAUCAUCCUGACAGAGGACAAGUGAAGGCGGAGGAUCUGUUCAGGUCUGAGGUCGAGAUCAUCUGUCGCUGAAUACCAGAGCACAAAGACCUGAACCAGAUCUUAUCGACUCAUCGGGUCUGAAAUCUGCAGCCUCCCUCUCAUCUCAGUGAUUCUCAGGAAUGUUUAGUUUUUACAGUCAGAUCUGAAUCAUGUGUCCUAAAUCCAACAAACUUCCACUGUGAGUUAUCUCAUUUCUUCAGAGUUUAAAGUCCUUCAGAUAUUGAGAAAUAUAAAUCAUUAUAAACUGA
Siniperca chuatsi (mandarin fish) is the source of this 1342-nucleotide long non-coding RNA. RefSeq lists it as uncharacterized. The transcript has 2 exons. NCBI's taxonomy places the organism in Eukaryota, Metazoa, Chordata, Actinopteri, Centrarchiformes, Sinipercidae. The record is from RefSeq and is a predicted model, not a curated record.